AACUGGAGGCAAGCACCAAACAACACCCAACAGGAGCUGCUCAGCCCAGAGAACGGCAGAACCUUGGAGGCUUCUGAAUCAUGAAGGAGGGAAGCUGGAAGAAGACAUUCCAGGCUUGAGUGUGGCCAAAGGCGGAUCUUUCCCAAUACAGAUUGCACGGCAGCAAAACACACGUUCUGACUUCUAAGAAGAACAGGUACAAAAUGAAGGGCAGUUGAGGCAGGAAGCAGCAGAGAUGCUGACCUGCCAAGAGAGGACACUUAGUAUGAGCUUCCACCAAGGCCACCACAUGACGAAUGGCUGCAACUCACUCUCACAUGGCUGAUGACCGCGGCUGACUCCCACAUUUCCUCCAGUCAGGGAGGGGACCCACUGUGCCAUUUUCCCGUAAGCAACGUCUCUGUGCAUCAAAUGUUCAUCAGAUGGAAAAGAGAUUGGCUAGACCUCAUCAUGUGUCUGCAGAACACAGAGCAAAGGGCCUUCAAUUCUGCUAGGCUCCAGUCUAGUAAAGAUCUCGUGGGACAUUCUUCACAUAAGAGAGGUGUGACUCCUGCUUUGGCCACUGUCGUCUCCUCACUCCAUCUUCAAACUUUCUCCCCCUUUACUAUCAGCCUCACUCCCAAGGGUCCAAUAACUAGUCCCUACUUGGGCCUCGGUGCUGAAACCUGUACAGAGAUCAUAGAAACAGUAUUACAGCCAAUGUUAAUUUUCUUGCUCCCAGUGAGAUACCAGCCUUUCUUCCACUAAAUUGCUUCACUAUAUUGUACUUGAGACAUGAAAGGGUUGUCUUUGGUCAAAUUUUCAUCCAAAGCAAAAAUAAACUAAUGAGGACCUACUGUAUAGCACAGGGAACUCUACUCAAUACUCUGUAAUGGCCUAUAUGGGGAAAGAAUCUAAAA
This is a long non-coding RNA of Mesoplodon densirostris (Blainville's beaked whale), 899 nucleotides long. RefSeq lists it as uncharacterized. The record is from RefSeq and is a predicted model, not a curated record. The transcript is spliced from 3 exons. NCBI's taxonomy places the organism in Eukaryota, Metazoa, Chordata, Mammalia, Artiodactyla, Ziphiidae.